AUAGAGUUCAAUGAGAGAAAGAGAAAAGCGAAUAUUUGGAUAACUUUUUUUCUUUUUAAUACUUUUUGGAAAAAAACAUUUUGAAAUCAGAAGAAUGAAAGCUUUGAUCUGUAUAUACUAUGUUUGUGAGACCCAGCUCUACCUAAAUACCACUUAACUUUGCCUCAGAAUCAUAGAAGAUUUACAUUCAAAACUAUUUCUUCCUUCUAUGUUUGCUUUUGCUCCCUUGUCUUAGCAUACGACACAGCAGCGCGUCCUUGGCUGUUCAUGAAUUCACAGGGACAAAUACUUUGUAAUAGUGUUCCAUCUUACAGAGAGGUCACAAACCGAUCUUGCUUACUUGGGUGUAAAUCCGGAGAAACUCGGCUGAGCUCAAUAGACUUACUCAGGCCUGAAAUCAAUUAUUGCCGUGCUGUGAGUGAGAUGGAGCCCGGCUCCCGGGCGCAGUUGUGGCACUGAGGUGCAGACGGAGCGGCGGGGCAGGGGCAGCGCUGGNNNNNNNNNNNNNNNNNNNNGGCCCGGCCCGGCCCGGCCCGGCCCGGGGAGCGACACGGCCGGCGGCCAGCCGGGGACAGCCUCCAUGCCAGCGGCUAGUUGUUAUGCAGCCAUGCAAGAACUGAAACAAAAUGCAGCUUAAAUACUCCUCCCCCAAGCCAGCCCCCGCGAUUAUGCUUCCAAUGAGCGCAGUGGUAGCUGUGGUGUCCCUAUUAACAUUUCGGUCCCUGGCAUCUGCGGGCACUGGCACUGAAGCAGAGCCCAAGGGGAUGCCUGGAAGGCGGCGCUGUGCCAGAGAAUUUAAGCAAAAUGGCACAUAUCUCCCAUCAGCGUCUGAGUCUCAGCUGUUCUCCCAGAGGAACCCCAGUAGUACAGUGGGAUGUUUUGGGGUAGGGAUCUGCACUCUUGAAACCCCUUCCUGCUCUCCAGCUUGCAUUGUCAUUAAUAAAAGGCAGAGGAGAUUAAGAGUUUUGUUCCUUUUGCCAUGCCAGUAUUUUCUCAUAUAGUGACAAGAGGUCUAUAUAAGAAAAAAUAAUACUGCAAGAGACUUUUUAAAUCCUGUUUCAUAUUUACCCACUAGUGAUUUUUUUCCCCUCUGGUAGCACAUGUAAAUAAAUGUGAAGAAAAUAAAUAUGGAAUAGGCA
Molecule: long non-coding RNA, 1139 nt
Filed under: Cyanistes caeruleus (blue tit)
Lineage: Eukaryota; Metazoa; Chordata; Aves; Passeriformes; Paridae
Description: lncRNA (ENSCCEG00000023377.1)
Source: RNAcentral